UGAACUUUAUAAACUAUAUAAAGGUCAAAUCAUGUUUUACUUUUCACAUGAAAAGACGAAAAUUAUGGUUGAAAUUCACAAGUUUGUUUUUGCUAUGAUUCAAUUUAUUUCCUUAUUUCUUAUCACAAUAGAAGUUGGUCGUUUGCGUUAUGGAUGUGAAACGGAUGCGGAUUGUCCACGAUAUACACACAAUAAUUUUUCUUUGAAAUGCAUUAAUAAAAAAUGUGAAUGGUCUGCAAAGCUUCACUAGUUCUCUGAGCACCAAAUCAAAGAGAAUGAAAAAAACUCCCUCUAUAGGAGAAUGAGUUAUCAUGUUAGCAAAGCAAAUAUGCAAUACAUGUUAUGUUCGAAUAUCACAAGAGUUGUCAUUUAUUUAUUAAUGUACUAGACCAAUGAUUUUAUUUUUAUUUUCAUAAA
This is a long non-coding RNA of Medicago truncatula (barrel medic), 417 nucleotides long. RefSeq lists it as uncharacterized. The record is from RefSeq and is a predicted model, not a curated record. The transcript has 2 exons. Lineage: Eukaryota; Viridiplantae; Streptophyta; Magnoliopsida; Fabales; Fabaceae.